This 421-nucleotide ribosomal RNA is filed under the name uncultured bacterium. RNAcentral's name for it is "partial 16S ribosomal RNA". It matches the Rfam family "Bacterial small subunit ribosomal RNA", at positions 361 to 774 of the family's 1533-position model. The record is from RNAcentral.
AUAUUUUACAUUGGGGGCAACCCUGAACUAGCCAUUCAGCGUAUGUGAAGAAGGUCUUCGGAUUGUAAAGCACUUUAAGUGAGACGGAAGGGGUGUAGGAUACUACCCUGAAGAUUUGCUGUAACCAACAGAAUAAGCACCGGCUAACUCUGUUCCUGCAGCCGCGGAAAUACAGAGGGUUCAAGCGUUAUUCGGAAUUACUGCGCGUAAAGCGCGCGUAGGUGGUUCAGUAAGAUGGGGUUGAAAUCCCCGGGCUUAACCUGGGAAAUGCUUUCAUAACUGCUGAGCUAGAGUACGGUAGAGGGUAGUGGAAUUUCCUGUGUAGCGGUGAAAUGCGUAGAUAUAGGAAGGAACACCAGUGGCGAAGGCGACUACCUGGACUGAUACUGACACUGAGGUGCGAAAGCGUGGGGAGCAAACA